This 675-nucleotide long non-coding RNA is filed under the name Struthio camelus australis. Its description in RNAcentral is "lncRNA (ENSSCUG00000000670.1)". The record is from RNAcentral. Lineage: Eukaryota; Metazoa; Chordata; Aves; Struthioniformes; Struthionidae.
CCUGAGGCCACCAUGUAAUUUAGGUGCUAACUACUGGAGUAGGAAGAUUUUAUUUUUCUCACCUUCCCAUGUGCCAGAUAAAGAGAGGAAGAAAGCAACACCCAGAACCAGAUGGGGGCAUGUCAGAGGGAGAACUAGAGGAAGAUGGGGAUGAUGAUGAAGAUGGGCCAAGGAGAUCUGGACAUCACAGGCACAGAAACAGGAGAGGAUGGGGAAGAGCAGCUGGAAAUGAGGGCAGCGAUUCUAAGGUGGAACCCUGCAAAACCAGGAAGAACCAGGCAAAUCAGAAAUACAUGGAAGAUGAUGAAGAAGAUGAGAAAGGAUGCAAAAGUGGGAAAGGCAAAAAUGAGAAGAAACAGGAUAAAAAAUCUGAUAAGAAAGGGAAAAAAGAGAAGGCCAACAAGAAGAAAAAAGACAAAGAAAUCAGGUUCAGGCUCUGAUUAUGAUUCUGAGGAGGAGCUGAUUACAGAGGAGGAAUUGGCCAAGCUGAAAGAAGAGGUAGAAGAAAAAAAGAAGUUAAUUGCCAUGCUACGAAACAAGCCAUGGAAGAUGUAAAAGAAGUUGGCUGUCCUGAAAUCUACUGACACAAUUAACUGAUAGGCGCCACACAGGCAAGCAUGGGACUCAGGAUGGUGCAGCCCGUAGAAGAGGGGUUUGCUCUGGGGGGCUCCCCAA